CGUCGAUCUUAUUUUGUUGGUUUCUAAGACCGCCGUAAUGAUUAAUAGGGACGGUUGGGGGCAUUAGUAUUCAAUUGUCAGAGGUGAAAUUCUUGGAUUUUUUGAAGACUAACUACUGCGAAAGCAUUUGCCAAGGAUGUUUUCAUUAAUCAAGAACGAAAGUUAGGGGAUCGAAGACGAUUAGAUACCGUCGUAGUCUUAACCAUAAACUAUGCCGACUAGGGAUCGGGCGUAGUCUCAAAAAGUUACUCGCUCGGCACCUUAAGAGAAAUCAAAGUUUUUGGGUUCUGGGGGGAGUAUGGUCGCAAGGCUGAAACUUAAAGGAAUUGACGGAAGGGCACCACCAGGAGUGGAGCCUGCGGCUUAAUUUGACUCAACACGGGGAAACUCACCAGGUCCAGA
RNAcentral lists this ribosomal RNA (402 nucleotides) under uncultured fungus. Its description in RNAcentral is "SSU rRNA". It matches the Rfam family "Eukaryotic small subunit ribosomal RNA", at positions 828 to 1228 of the family's 1831-position model. The record is from RNAcentral. Lineage: Eukaryota; Fungi.